This 464-nucleotide ribosomal RNA is filed under the name Vreelandella stevensii. RNAcentral's name for it is "partial 16S ribosomal RNA". It matches the Rfam family "Bacterial small subunit ribosomal RNA", at positions 338 to 794 of the family's 1533-position model. Lineage: Bacteria; Pseudomonadati; Pseudomonadota; Gammaproteobacteria; Oceanospirillales; Halomonadaceae. The record is from RNAcentral.
CCUACGGGUGGCUGCAGUGGGGAAUAUUGGACAAUGGGGGGAACCCUGAUCCAGCCAUGCCGCGUGUGUGAAGAAGGCCCUCGGGUUGUAAAGCACUUUCAGUGAGGAAGAACGCCUGGUGGUUAAUACCCAUCAGGAAAGACAUCACUCACAGAAGAAGCACCGGCUAACUCCGUGCCAGCAGCCGCGGUAAUACGGAGGGUGCGAGCGUUAAUCGGAAUUACUGGGCGUAAAGCGCGCGUAGGUGGCUUGAUAAGCCGGUUGUGAAAGCCCCGGGCUCAACCUGGGAACGGCAUCCGGAACUGUCAAGCUAGAGUGCAGGAGAGGAAGGUAGAAUUCCCGGUGUAGCGGUGAAAUGCGUAGAGAUCGGGAGGAAUACCAGUGGCGAAGGCGGCCUUCUGGACUGUCACUGACACUGAGGUGCGAAAGCGUGGGUAGCAAACAGGAUUAGAUACCCUUGUAGU